UGGCCGGUGCGAGCUGCUCGGUGGCGGCACACCAUUAGCACACGGGCCUCGCCCAAUCCCCAAUCCCCAACUCGGAUGGAAAACCCUAGCCGCCGCCUGCCCAAUCCCCUCGCGUUCUCCUCCUCCACAACCUCGAUUCCACCUUCUCCUUUAGCCUCGGGCGGCGCCGCUCCGUCUCCUGGUUCCCCGCGGCCGAUCUCGCGCGCCCCUCCAUCCCGUGGUUCCCUCUCUUUCCGCCUCUCAGCAGGAGGUUCAUGGGCUGCCGCUUGAGCUACUCCUCAGGCCGUUGGUGGUUAGCGCUAAGAAGAAUUGUCAGCAGCAAAGAUGGAGUAGACGUGAAGAGGCGAUUGAUGAUAGAGUAGGCAGAAAGAUUCUGGCAGAUCGGGGCUUCUCCUGCCAGCCUCCAGCCUCUCUUCGGCUCGCACGGCGGCCGGCGCCGGCGGCCGAAGUGGCUCUGCCCCUCCUCCCCGACUCAUCUUUCUCAUGCAUAGAGGCUGGAGGAGGGCUUCAACGGUGCAGGUCCGAGCUCUUCCUCUCUCUCUCUCUCACACACACACACACACACACACACCCUCACCCUUGAUAUUUAUUUGGGUGCAAGGCCAAACGGAGAUGCAGCAUUCGGUCAGGCCAAUAACUGAUGGAAUAGGACAAGUGAACUUGUUCCCUUGCAAGGACCUCAUACUGAAAAAAUACACAACUCAGCAUAUUAGUGCUGAUCUGUAGUAUCCAUUUUUCCAAUAUCUUCUAUUUUUUGAAAAUUAGCUGGAGUAAUAUUCCCCUUUUUGUUAUGGAGGUACAUGGGCAAAGCUUGCUUCGCUCCUGCUCUGCCUCUGCGUCGUACUCGACAUUCAAUAGGAGGAUCAUGUGCUGCUUGCAUUCUUCCAUAUUGAGACAGGGAGGUUGAGAAGAUAUGUAACAUGUAAUGAGUUGUUGAGAGCAAUUGGCAUGGGAGACACCAGCGACUGAUGGCGCGGGCUUUGUUCAAGGCUCACUGGAGAAACCAACAUCUCUAGCGUGGCUGGCAUCGAACACUUCAAUGACCAGCAAGUCCAGCACACUGGUGUGGCCGAUGUCCCAGCUAGACUGGGAAAUACGAAAUGUCUGUCCUCUUUUUCUACAGAUUUAGGUUCAUCACGUACUUCACAAAGCCUUUGUCGCCGCUAAGUUGGCAUCGUUGUUUUCUUAGCUAUGCCUACAGAAAAUCCUAUUUCGAUCAAGAAAAUUGUAUUAUCAUGCAUACUUAAUUUAUACAAGACUUAACCUCUGGAAUAGGUAAAUUUGGGAGCUAGACCUUACACCGUAAAGGUCAGUCUAUAUCAGUUUAUGUAACAUUUUAGUAUGAGCCUGCUAUUUGUUGCCAUGUAAUCUCAAGUAUACAAUUUAUCUUUCUGCUCGCUGGUCUUAUAAUUUUUGGAAUACUGAAAUGACGAGGAUCAAAGGGUAUCAUAAUAUUUUUAAUUCAUCCAGUGUUUUUUUUUGGCUACCGAGAGUUGAGUUUUUGAAGAAAAAUACGGCAUUUGUUGAUUCUUUUGCAGGUUGAUUUGGACCCAUUUACCAAAGAUAGAGAGGGGCAGGCUGCUCCGCAUCCCCGUUCAUCAUCGUUUACUUGCUCUCUCUCGUUCUUAUUAAAUAGAGGGGGAUGUGGGUGAUGUGGUCAUCGAUGUGUAGGAGCUGGGCCGGUCGCCGUCGUCUCCCAAGACGCUACUUGCUGCUAAAUCGCUUGCUCGACCUUGCCACCUCAAUCCUUGCUCGAUCUUGCCACCUCAAUCUCCUUCCCGACCACGUGGAGGUCGUGCCAGAAGAUUUUCCCUACGCCCCUGCCUUGCUCAACCAUGUGGAUGUAGCGUGGCCAAUACUUUUUCGGUACCACAUCUGUUAUGUCGGUGCAAAUGAUGGUGUUGUAAUUGAGCUUACCUGCCGGGCAAGGAGAUUAUUUUGGUUAUCUUGCUGGAGAGUGAUGCCCGGGGGGAUUGCUGGUGAGAUUCACUGCUUGGCUGGAUUUAAUGUCCUGCUCGAUUCUUGGGAUUAUGCAUGGAAGAUCUUUAGAUGUCAUUUAUGUUUAGGAGUCAAGCUGUAGCGCCUCGAAGCCGGCGAUGUAGCAGCCUCCAUCUGUGAGCUGCAAGGCGUCGAACUGCUCCAUCUCCAAAGGACCAAGACAUUCCAUGGUAUCCCCUUUACUCUGAAGGCUAAUUCCCAUAUUCAGCUGAUUACUAACACUCAAGUACCAAUUUGGUACAUACAACACUGAUGGUACAUUGUACAAGUGCAGGCUCCCCAAUAUAUAGAUGAAGCUUGGUACCAACUUGGAUGAUCGCAUGGUGUAUCAACCAAUUAGAGAAAUGACCGAUGGAAACUUGUUUUGUCCUGUAGUAGUAUCUGAUUCAAUACGAAGAUAACCAGGUCACCUCUUUUUCUGAAAGACUUUGGACUGGCAACCUGCAACAACGCUCAUAACACCUUUACUUGCUUUUCCCUGUGUUGUAUUACUGUAAACUUUGAAGGUCUGUAGAUAUCAUACUAUUGCUUGAAAUAUCAAUUGAGGGCUUGCUACUAUUGUAUAUUGGUUGUAUAUAAAUGUUUCCUUUUUUGUUUGUAAUUAAGUGUGCUUUAUGUAAACUUUAUUCUAUUGAAUGUUCAUCGAAAUGAGUUUCACGGGAUCGUGCGCCAAGGCGCACAUCUAAA
Molecule: non-coding RNA, 2685 nt
Organism: Lolium perenne
Lineage: Eukaryota; Viridiplantae; Streptophyta; Magnoliopsida; Poales; Poaceae
Source: RefSeq, a predicted model, not a curated record